This 1221-nucleotide long non-coding RNA is filed under the name Rattus norvegicus (Norway rat). Its description in RNAcentral is "long non-coding RNA NONRATT016892". Lineage: Eukaryota; Metazoa; Chordata; Mammalia; Rodentia; Muridae. The record is from RNAcentral.
GGUGGAGCCGGCUCCUGGUUUCCGGCGGCCCAGGUGUUGGACAUUUCUUCCCUUGCUCCUCCGAGAGGGCUGAACUGGGGGAGGAGGCUCCUCUCAAAUUAGGAACGAAGCCAGGGUGCACUGAUUAGUAGGGAACAUUGGAACCUAACAACCAGACACUCUCAACAUACAGGGAGAACAAUGAAGAAAACUUCAAAGAAACCAAUUGUUGUUGCCCUAAUCUAACAAAGAAGUACACUGAAACUUUACUGCUCUGCAAUAAAGCACAGCAAACUGGGAUGAAUUUGUGAGAACCAAGUUCAGUACCCAGCAUCUUCAUGGUGGCUCACAAUCAUCUGUAACUCCAGUUCCAGUGGAUCUGAUGCUUUUAGGUCUCCAUGAGCACCAGAUAGGGUUUUUACAAGCCCUGGGCAUCAGUGGAACUAUGUAGACCAGCCUGGUAUCAAAUCACAAAGAUCUGCCUGCCUUUACCUCCCUAUCACUGGGCUAGAAGGUGUGCACUACUAUGCUGGGCUUAACCAAAGGAAGUUGAUCAGAGAAUAUGUCUGUGAGGAAAAAAAAGUUGUUAUUAAGUGAAAAAGUAAGACAAAGCUAAAAACAAAAACAAGGAAAACUCAGAAAAACAUUGAAAGUCUCAAGAUGAUCUAGUGAAUUUGGGAAGCGACAAGUACUUUACCUGUGUGUGCCUAUGUAUACAUUCAUGUACAUUCAUUAUUAAGACUGAAAUAUGUGACUAAAUAUGAGAUCCUUUUCUGAAGUGGAUGUGAUAGAACAAUUUUUUUAAUGCAAAAAGACUUUAUUGGAUUUCAUUCAUAAAAUGAUGCCUAUGAUAGCCAUGUAGAGGAUAUAUGGAAGUGUGUUGGAAGAGUCUUUGAGAAGCCCACACCAUGCUCUCAGGUACAACUCUCUUCUAAGUACCUUUCUUUUAACCUGUAUGUUUACAGUGUUAAAUAUAACCUGAACUUGUAAGCCAAAUAAACCCUUUCUUCUUUAAGUUGUUUUUUUGUCAAGGUAUUGAAACUUUUGAUAGUUCUGGUCGUUUAGAAUAAAGGUAUUGCUUUUUUCCUUUUCUUUCCAAAUAUUAUGUCACAGCUUUUUUUUUUUUACAGCUUUAUGGAAGCAUAAAUGGCAUGUAACAAAUUAUUGUAUAGCAUAUAACUUAGUAACUUGCAUUUGUGUAUACCAGUGAGAAAGUACCAUUUAAAAUAAAGAAAGCAAGUU